AUUCUGAAGUAUUUACCACUUCGAAAUUCGACCCUGGAUAAAUCUGCCCCUCAAUGUAGCUCCAUUUAACCUUUUGGUUCAGCACUCUUCCCCUUUUCUUCCUCAGAUUACAUUAUGUGUUAUUACUACCCCCCCCCCCCCAUUGUCACCUGUGGCUUUGAAUCUUUACACGUUGAAUUGGGCGCACAGCAUUCUGAUUAAAACGUUACAAUCCAACAAAAAGGAAUGCUGUUCUUUUGGUAUCAGCACUAGAAUCCAUGACAGUUACUCAAUCUUAAAGGAACUUAAUCUCAACAUUGAUUCAGAUGUCAUCGAAAGUCUUCAGGAAUUUUCCUGUAUGAGCAACAGCAAGCAGGACCAUCCUUCGUCAUCAUGACCUGGAGCAGUGUGUCGCUGGCCCUAUCAUUGGGUAGCGAGAAAAACUGAACCACCGAAAAACAAGUCCCCAAUUGCCGAAGUCACAAAAAGAGCUGAACUACAGAAGCCGUGAAGAGACUCGAAGUCACGAAAGAGCUGAACUUGAAGUCCUGAAGCAGAGGAAAGUCCCAAAGUCACUAAAGAGCCAAACUUGGAGGUCCCGAAGCCACGAGUUCAGUUCUAUUGGACACCAAUCUUUUUGAUGCGUGGAUGUACCAGCAGGUGCACUGAGCAUUCAGCCGUCAUACCAUGAUGAUGAAUGGUGGGAGAAUGCAAAGAAUACAUAUUAUAAACAAACUCUCCGGCCCAGUGUGAUAAUGCUUGGUGGAGCAGCCGUACCUGCAGUAGGACUGGUGUCACUCACAGGUUGAUCCUGGAGCUCUACAUUGCGGUAUAAUCGAAGUCCCUAAAGGCUUCCGCAAUCUCCUUUUCCAUGGCCAAGGAACCCUCGGAGGGAGGAGUUAGAACUAGAUGUUGAUCUUUAUCCUCGGAAAGUCUAACAUCCUCAGCAUUUCGUAUAUUACAAUGCCCAGAGACCACCAGUCGACAGAUCUUGAGUAUGGCUCCCUGGCGAGGACUUCUGGUGCCAUGUAGCCAAAAGAUCCUUUCAGGCUACUUGUUCGCCCUUCAUAGCCAAUUCCUGAAAAAAAACAGUUAUUGUAGCUCUUUAAGCAGCCGCCAGCAACGUACUCCAUCAGAAAGAAUAGAUGGUAUUCUGACUGGAACGUGGCGUGGAUAUCCACAACGAAAGGGUGGUCAGCAACGGCGAAAGCAACCCGUUUCUCUAGCAAGAUCCUGAAUAUUAAAAGCAUUCAUUGUCAGAACAAGGGACAUGGAUUUUCAGGGCAUAGGAUCUUUUGGUUGCCGCGUGUUCAACAAGGAGAACCUGGAAUAAGAGAGAAUCUCAGGAAAUGCAGGAAGAUACAUGCAGAACAUCCAUACCCCUUUCAGAGAGCUGCAAGAAUCGAUCCAUACUUGCCCCAGCAUUGCAAGGUUGCAUCUUACUGUGGGUCCUUUGUCACUGCCAGUGGACAUCCUUCUGCUGCAUCAGGUGGAGUUGGGCUGAUGUUUUCUUCAUCCACAGAUAUCUCACUAUAAGGAAAAGUCUCUAAUCGUCAGGCAUGAAGCGUCAGCUUGAUAUUUCCAUCUGCCUUACCUCAGAAUGCCGGUGCCGACGCAAGAUGUUAGAAUGUCCGGCACCCAUCUUGACGCUCCUGUAUGAGAAAAAA
This is a long non-coding RNA of Xenopus laevis (African clawed frog), 1646 nucleotides long. RefSeq lists it as uncharacterized. The record is from RefSeq and is a predicted model, not a curated record. The transcript has 9 exons. NCBI's taxonomy places the organism in Eukaryota, Metazoa, Chordata, Amphibia, Anura, Pipidae.